Molecule: ribosomal RNA, 761 nt
Filed under: Prevotella melaninogenica
Lineage: Bacteria; Pseudomonadati; Bacteroidota; Bacteroidia; Bacteroidales; Prevotellaceae
Description: bacterial SSU rRNA
Rfam family: Bacterial small subunit ribosomal RNA
Source: RNAcentral
GAUGAACGCUAGCUACAGGCUUAACACAUGCAAGUCGAGGGGAAACGGCAUUGAGUGCUUGCACUCUUUGGACGUCGACCGGCGCACGGGUGAGUAACGCGUAUCCAACCUUCCCAUUACUGUGGGAUAACCUGCCGAAAGGCAGACUAAUACCGCAUGGUCUUCGAUGACGGCAUCAGAUUUGAAGUAAAGAUUUAUCGGUAAUGGAUGGGGAUGCGUCUGAUUAGCUUGUUGGCGGGGUAACGGCCCACCAAGGCAACGAUCAGUAGGGGUUCUGAGAGGAAGGUCCCCCACAUUGGAACUGAGACACGGUCCAAACUCCUACGGGAGGCAGCAGUGAGGAAUAUUGGUCAAUGGACGGAAGUCUGAACCAGCCAAGUAGCGUGCAGGAUGACGGCCCUAUGGGUUGUAAACUGCUUUUGUAUGGGGAUAAAGUUAGGGACGUGUCCCUAUUUGCAGGUACCAUACGAAUAAGGACCGGCUAAUUCCGUGCCAGCAGCCGCGGUAAUACGGAAGGUCCAGGCGUUAUCCGGAUUUAUUGGGUUUAAAGGGAGCGUAGGCUGGAGAUUAAGUGUGUUGUGAAAUGUAGACGCUCAACGUCUGAAUUGCAGCGCAUACUGGUUUCCUUGAGUACGCACAACGUUGGCGGAAUUCGUCGUGUAGCGGUGAAAUGCUUAGAUAUGACGAAGAACUCCGAUUGCGAAGGCAGCUGACGGGAGCGCAACUGACGCUUAAGCUCGAAGGUGCGGGUAUCAAACAGG